UCCCACAUGCCCAGGCACAAGCCUCCCAACCGGGAAAUCAGCAUCUGUGCAGCAUUGUCUGAGCCCCAGACCCCAUUCUCAUCUCACUGGUGCAUUUCUUCUUGUCUUUUUCUGGUCCAGAAUCAGGAUCACAUCUUGCACUUAGCUGUCAUGUGUCCUUAGUUUCCUUCUGUCUGGAACAUCCUCAGUUUCCCCGCUCUUGACUGUAUUAGUUCACUCGCACGAUAAUAACCAAGCUGCACACUUGAAUAACAACGUUUUCCUUGCAGUUCCGGAAGCCAGAAAUCUGAAAUCAAGGUGUUGGCGGAGUGGGUUUCUUCUGAGGCCUUUCCCCUCGGUGUACAGGUGGUUGUCUUCUCCUCGAGCUUCCUCUGGACUCAGUCUACAAAUUCUGGGUGGAAAUAUCAUUCUUCUUAGAGGUCACCUCAACCCACUUGUAUGAUGCUAAUAUGUAUGAAAUGGCCAAGUUGGUGUCUGCCAGUUCCUCCAUGCAGCCAAUUAGACUCCUGUUGCUGUGAAGAGAAGGAAGGAAAAGUGGAGAGAGAGGAGGUAGGAGGGGAAAGGAAGUGAAGAGCAUUUUACGAUACCGAAGUAGGAAUAGUUGCAGAGUUUACUGUGUGCUGAGGUUUCCCUCGGCGUUGGCACUUCAAUCCUCGUGACCAUUGGAUGGGUGGUAUUGUUGCGAUGCCCAAUGUCCGUCUUACAAAUAAGGAAACUGAAGUCCAGAUGGAUUGGAUAGCUCAUUCCAGGUCUCGCUGCUGCAGUCACCCUGGACAGAGCCACCUCACAGUGAUAGCAGAAGCGGGAGCACGCAAGCCUUGUCACAGGACCACUUUGCAAGACACUGUUGUUCUCAGAUCAUGAACACUCCAUUGACCAAAGCCAAUUGCAUGGCUAAACUGAGGGUUGGAGAAUGACACCAAGCCCACAAGGAAACGCCUGAUUGGAUUAUGGAGGCUGAAAAGUUCUGCUAUCUGCAGUUGGGAGCUGGAGAAUCAGGAAAGCCAGUGGUGGAAUUUAUACUGAGUCUGAGGGCCUCAAGAGCAGGGGACCCAUAGGGUGAGUCCAGGCCUUAGACUGAAGGCUGGAGAACCAAGAACACUAAUGUCUGAGGGCAAGAUAAGAUGACUGUUUGCGGAGAGCAAAUUCAACCUUCCUCUGCCUUUAUUCUCCUCAGGCCCUCAGUGAAUUGGAUGAUGCCCAUCUACAUUGGUGAGAGCGUCUUCUUUGCUCAGACUAUCAGUUCAAAUGCUCAUCUCUUCUUCACCUUCACGCACACGCAGAGAUGUUUUGCCAGCUUAUCUGGGCAUCCCUCAGCCUGGACAAGUGGACACGUAAAUUUAAGAGAAGAGAAAUGAGAAUGGGGAGGACCGUAGAAACCUUGUCAAAUUAACCUUGAUUGAAGUAAAGGGAACUAUUUCUCUAGAAAUAGUGGCAGACAUCAUAUCUGUGUUCAAAUAUAUGAAUAUAUAUAUAUGAAGGUGUAUUACAGAAAUUAGAUGUGCAGUAUGAUUUCAUAGGCUAGACCUUAGACCAAUGGUUCUAUGGAAAGCAUACUGACAUUUGAAACAGGAAACCACCUCUUGCCACUACUUACCAAUUCUCUGACUUUGGAUAAGCCACGCAACUUCUCUGAGCCUCAAAUUCCUCAUUUGUAAAGAAGCUAUAUAAUAUCAAUAAUAAUAACUCAGUCCCACAGAGGAUUAAAUGAGAGUUUAUUGGUGAUUGGACUUUGCAGAUUGUAUUGCUGUACAACUUUGGUGUGAUAAUAGGGGCAUCAGAUUUCUGUUCAAUUUAUGAAGAAGGUCUCAAGAGUCAGAAUAGCUGCCUUUGGAGGUGAUGAGACUUUCUAAGCUGGUUGAAGUUCACUGGGAAUCUCCGGCAAGGAUAUUGUAGAGAGGUUUCAAGUAAUGCAUGAAUCCUCAACCAGAUCAUGAUGAAAGUUCCUCUCAUCCCAGGGAGUCUGUGAUUCUGUUGAAGAGAAAGCAUUUUGUACAUGCUGAUCUAAUCUGUGGCCUGGCAUGGACAUUCAGGACAUUAGAGUGAAUAGUUUUAAAAAGGGCUGUAAUUUUAUCAUCCUGGCAACAUUUUGUGUUAUUAGUGUCAAUAAUCCUCUUAUGAAGGCCUGCCUUAUGAUAGAAAAACACCCAUUGUCCUGACAUUCUGCCUGAAAUGUUACCUUUGUUUCCAAGACACAUCUCAGGCACUAAAUGUAAGCAAGAGAAGUAGGUUGGAUGAACAUUGUGGUGAAGUGAAGCCAACGCAACCCAUUCAAAGAGGUGCACCUGCUUCCCAGCCGCGGCUACAUGUUGACCAUUGGCCAUUUGAGAAUAUGGGUCAUGUGUUCUCAGGUCUUCCAGUUGUUAAGAGAAGCCAGAAAUCUGGACUGUAAGUGAAAUCUUCCAACUUUUAAAUGUUGGCAAUUUUUUUUAAUGUUGAAACUGUUUAUUAAACACUGUGCUGGCCAAAGAUAUAAAGAACAAACGGAACUAGGGGAAUAGUAGAAAGAAUGAUCAAACCUCUGAGUAAGGCCACUUGGAAAAUGUCCUUAUAUAUAUUUUUUAUGCCACCAUUAAGACCACAUUUAUUGUAGAUACAUCACACAUGUCAUUUAAUCUCAUUAACUUGGUGAGGAAGGCUUUAAUAAUACAGGACACAUUUAACCUUGAUGAAAUGCAUAAUACGUCAGUAAUAUCGUAUUAUGGAUGAGGAGACCAAAAUGUAGAGCAGGGAGGAAGCUGCUCAGGGUCAGGGAGAAAGGACCUGAACCCAAGUCUGAGAUUCCAUUCUAUUCUGUUCACUAGACCUUUUUCUUUCUUCUUCCUCCAGCAAAACGAGAUAAUUUUACUUGUAAAUUGCUUGAAAUGUAAUUAAAUGCCUUUACAUGCUGUAUCUCACAUUUUCUCAGAACUAACCUUUGAAUUAGGUGGACUCAUGAUCAUUUCUAAAUAAUAUUAAAUAAACACUAAAACUUGAAGUCCCUUACAUCAUCGGGGGUUUAGUUAUGUCAUAGCGCCAUCCAUUCCCAGAAAAAGAAAAGGCAAAGCACUCAGAGAAAGGCUGCUUCACAUUCAGAGAUGACCCUGUUUUUUGAACUAUACCUGUGGGUUUCUCUCUUGUAUGUAUGUGGUAAUAUUGGUGUAAUUUUGUCAAAUGAUUGGUGUGAGAUUAGAGGUUCGGAGCUACAAAGACAAGCUGUCCUAUAUGUUGAGAAAGGAAAGCUACAGAAGAUUUUGGAAGUUACCAUGUGGGUAAAACUUGUGUGAGGAAAGGUGAUAAACUUUCUUUUCCUAAACAAUUUCCAAAUGUACAAAGAGCAGCAUUUAUUAUAUUUUGAAACAGAGAAGGGAGCCUGGAUUCUUCACAGCUUGCCCAACGGUUUACUAUGUAAUCGAUGUCAAUCCAUGAACUGAUACCAUUUCAACUUUUCUUGUAAAAGACAAUUGUGGCCUGUUAUAUUCUUUUAGUCUUUCUAUUUAAAAAAUGUAUAUAUAGGGUUUGGGUACAUGUGUUGUUUCUGUGUGCCUAACACGUUCAUCUCCAUCUGGUCUUCACAAAGGUCUUUAUUCCAGAAUUUCUUGUCCCAUGACUAAGACCAGGCUAGAGUGGGGCUAUGGCUGAUUAUUCUGAGUUAGAAUAGCAUGGGGAAUCUGAAAAUACCCACUGUGCCCUCAUAAAAACAUGUGUAAUGAGUUCAGUUAGGAAAAUGGUAUUCAAGGAAUUUUCAGAGGCAUGCUAGAUUUCUCCAUGCUAAAUUCUGCUAACUAAGCUGGUUGAGUGUUGCCACUCAGGAAGGUAAAAAGAUUUUUUUUUAAGAUUUUAUUUAUUUAUUCAACAGAGAUAGAGACAGCCAGCGA
Molecule: long non-coding RNA, 3857 nt
Organism: Ailuropoda melanoleuca (giant panda)
Lineage: Eukaryota; Metazoa; Chordata; Mammalia; Carnivora; Ursidae
Exons: 6
Source: RefSeq, a predicted model, not a curated record